RNAcentral lists this ribosomal RNA (203 nucleotides) under uncultured bacterium. RNAcentral's name for it is "partial 16S ribosomal RNA". It matches the Rfam family "Bacterial small subunit ribosomal RNA", at positions 524 to 722 of the family's 1533-position model. The record is from RNAcentral.
UACAGAGACCUCAAGCGUUUAUCCGGAAUCAUUGGGCGUAAAGCGUACCGAUAGGUUGUUUUACAAGUCAGGAGUGAAAUCUCAAGGCUCAACUUUGAGACUGUCUCUUGAAACUGUAAAACUAGAGGGGUAAAGAGGAAGCUGGAACGAACGGUGUAGUAGUGAAAUGCGUUGAUAUCGUUCGGAACACCAAUAGCGAAGGC